GAAGAUACCACCAUCAGGGGAGAUACCAUCCCGAAUGAAUAAACCAUCCCGAGGACCUCCUGACUCCUGGGAUCAGUCAACGGGCUGAGCCUCUCUUCCCCCCCAUUGGGAUGCCUUUGGGAAUCCUGAGUGAACUGCAUGUGGACAGCUGGAGAAUCGCAAACCAAUUAUUUGGAUUAAUAAUGCUAUGCUUUACCCUGACCUUAAUGCAAUUACAGACUUUAAAGGAAACUUAGCUGCUGUGGUUGUGCACGGAGCUGAGGUGUUUCACCGUGGCAUCUAACCAUGCGUUGUCACAGCAUAGCACAAUCACUGGAACAUCUCAAAACAAAAAGGAUCUAAAUCUCUCUACUUUAGUUCUACAUGGAAACCAAAUAUUUUCCAAAGAUGAAUGGAGUUGGAAUUAUUCUCUAAGAAUGGCUGAACUUCAAGCCAUUUCUAGCCAGACAAUACAAAUCAGUUGCUAAAUAACUAA
Molecule: long non-coding RNA, 475 nt
Organism: Oxyura jamaicensis (ruddy duck)
Lineage: Eukaryota; Metazoa; Chordata; Aves; Anseriformes; Anatidae
Exons: 2
Source: RefSeq, a predicted model, not a curated record